RNAcentral lists this ribosomal RNA (491 nucleotides) under uncultured bacterium. RNAcentral's name for it is "partial 16S ribosomal RNA". It matches the Rfam family "Bacterial small subunit ribosomal RNA", at positions 29 to 507 of the family's 1533-position model. The record is from RNAcentral.
GUGAACGCUGGCGGUAGGCCUAACACAUGCCCGUCGAACGGCAGCACAGUAAGAGCUUGCUCUUACGGGUGGCGAGUGGCGGACGGGUGAGGAAUACAUCGGAAUCUACUUUUUCGUGGGGGAUAACGUAGGGAAACUUACGCUAAUACCGCAUACGACCUACGGGUGAAAGCAGGGGAUCUUCGGACCUUGCGCGAUUGAAUGAGCCGAUGUCGGAUUAGCUAGUUGGCGGGGUAAAGGCCCACCAAGGCGACGAUCCGUAGCUGGUCUGAGAGGAUGAUCAGCCACACUGGAACUGAGACACGGUCCAGACUCCUACGGGAGGCAGCAGUGGGGAAUAUUGGACAAUGGGCGCAAGCCUGAUCCAGCUAUACCGCGUGGGUGAAGAAGGCCUUCGGGUUGUAAAGCCCUUUUGUUGGGAAAGAAAAGCAGCAGGUUAAUACCCCGCUGUUCUGACGGUACCCAAAGAAUAAGCACCGGCUAACUUCGUG